UUCAAAUGCAGCCUCAGCACUUCCUUCCUGUGAGACCCUGGGUGAGCCCCUUGCCCCUGGUCUGUCUCAGUUCUUCAUCUUUAAAAAAGGGGUAGUAAUAGCACGUUCCCCCCAAAGGGAGGAUCAAAGAGAUAAGUUGUCUCCGGCUAAUUACGGAACUCUUUCUGGACAAUCCCAAGGUUUUUAUAAGGGUUUGCAAAACGGAUUUUGCUGCACAAAAGUUUUAUUUUAGGUUGUGGGGAUGAAAUAUCCAUCUCAUUUUGGUUCUGUUAGCCCUGCAAAGAUUGGAAAUAAUAAGAAAUAAAGGCGAUGGAGAAGGGGAAACAUGGGGUUCUGUUAGCCCUGCAAAGAUUGGAAAUAAUAAGAAAUAAAGGCGAUGGAGAAGGGGAAACAUGGGGUUCUGUUAGCCCUGCAAAGACUGGAAAUAAUAAGAAAUAAAGGUGAUGGAGAAGGGGAAACAUGGGGUUCUGUUAGCUCUGCAAAGAUUGGCAAUAAUAUGAAAUAAAGAUGGAGAUUUGGUGCUUUUGUGAAA
Molecule: long non-coding RNA, 532 nt
Organism: Antechinus flavipes (yellow-footed antechinus)
Lineage: Eukaryota; Metazoa; Chordata; Mammalia; Dasyuromorphia; Dasyuridae
Exons: 3
Source: RefSeq, a predicted model, not a curated record